Molecule: ribosomal RNA, 2924 nt
Filed under: Escherichia coli
Lineage: Bacteria; Pseudomonadati; Pseudomonadota; Gammaproteobacteria; Enterobacterales; Enterobacteriaceae
Description: partial 23S ribosomal RNA
Rfam family: Bacterial large subunit ribosomal RNA
Source: RNAcentral
GGGUUGUGAGGUUAAGCGACUAAGCGUACACGGUGGAUGCCCUGGCAGUCAGAGGCGAUGAAGGACGUGCUAAUCUGCGAUAAGCGUCGGUAAGGUGAUAUGAACCGUUAUAACCGGCGAUUUCCGAAUGGGGAAACCCAGUGUGUUUCGACACACUAUCAUUAACUGAAUCCAUAGGUUAAUGAGGCGAACCGGGGGAACUGAAACAUCUAAGUACCCCGAGGAAAAGAAAUCAACCGAGAUUCCCCCAGUAGCGGCGAGCGAACGGGGAGCAGCCCAGAGCCUGAAUCAGUGUGUGUGUUAGUGGAAGCGUCUGGAAAGGCGCGCGAUACAGGGUGACAGCCCCGUACACAAAAAUGCACAUGCUGUGAGCUCGAUGAGUAGGGCGGGACACGUGGUAUCCUGUCUGAAUAUGGGGGGACCAUCCUCCAAGGCUAAAUACUCCUGACUGACCGAUAGUGAACCAGUACCGUGAGGGAAAGGCGAAAAGAACCCCGGCGAGGGGAGUGAAAAAGAACCUGAAACCGUGUACGUACAAGCAGUGGGAGCACGCUUAGGCGUGUGACUGCGUACCUUUUGUAUAAUGGGUCAGCGACUUAUAUUCUGUAGCAAGGUUAACCGAAUAGGGGAGCCGAAGGGAAACCGAGUCUUAACUGGGCGUUAAGUUGCAGGGUAUAGACCCGAAACCCGGUGAUCUAGCCAUGGGCAGGUUGAAGGUUGGGUAACACUAACUGGAGGACCGAACCGACUAAUGUUGAAAAAUUAGCGGAUGACUUGUGGCUGGGGGUGAAAGGCCAAUCAAACCGGGAGAUAGCUGGUUCUCCCCGAAAGCUAUUUAGGUAGCGCCUCGUGAAUUCAUCUCCGGGGGUAGAGCACUGUUUCGGCAAGGGGGUCAUCCCGACUUACCAACCCGAUGCAAACUGCGAAUACCGGAGAAUGUUAUCACGGGAGACACACGGCGGGUGCUAACGUCCGUCGUGAAGAGGGAAACAACCCAGACCGCCAGCUAAGGUCCCAAAGUCAUGGUUAAGUGGGAAACGAUGUGGGAAGGCCCAGACAGCCAGGAUGUUGGCUUAGAAGCAGCCAUCAUUUAAAGAAAGCGUAAUAGCUCACUGGUCGAGUCGGCCUGCGCGGAAGAUGUAACGGGGCUAAACCAUGCACCGAAGCUGCGGCAGCGACACUAUGUGUUGUUGGGUAGGGGAGCGUUCUGUAAGCCUGCGAAGGUGUGCUGUGAGGCAUGCUGGAGGUAUCAGAAGUGCGAAUGCUGACAUAAGUAACGAUAAAGCGGGUGAAAAGCCCGCUCGCCGGAAGACCAAGGGUUCCUGUCCAACGUUAAUCGGGGCAGGGUGAGUCGACCCCUAAGGCGAGGCCGAAAGGCGUAGUCGAUGGGAAACAGGUUAAUAUUCCUGUACUUGGUGUUACUGCGAAGGGGGGACGGAGAAGGCUAUGUUGGCCGGGCGACGGUUGUCCCGGUUUAAGCGUGUAGGCUGGUUUUCCAGGCAAAUCCGGAAAAUCAAGGCUGAGGCGUGAUGACGAGGCACUACGGUGCUGAAGCAACAAAUGCCCUGCUUCCAGGAAAAGCCUCUAAGCAUCAGGUAACAUCAAAUCGUACCCCAAACCGACACAGGUGGUCAGGUAGAGAAUACCAAGGCGCUUGAGAGAACUCGGGUGAAGGAACUAGGCAAAAUGGUGCCGUAACUUCGGGAGAAGGCACGCUGAUAUGUAGGUGAAGUCCCUUGCGGAUGGAGCUGAAAUCAGUCGAAGAUACCAGCUGGCUGCAACUGUUUAUUAAAAACACAGCACUGUGCAAACACGAAAGUGGACGUAUACGGUGUGACGCCUGCCCGGUGCCGGAAGGUUAAUUGAUGGGGUCAGCGCAAGCGAAGCUCUUGAUCGAAGCCCCGGUAAACGGCGGCCGUAACUAUAACGGUCCUAAGGUAGCGAAAUUCCUUGUCGGGUAAGUUCCGACCUGCACGAAUGGCGUAAUGAUGGCCAGGCUGUCUCCACCCGAGACUCAGUGAAAUUGAACUCGCUGUGAAGAUGCAGUGUACCCGCGGCAAGACGGAAAGACCCCGUGAACCUUUACUAUAGCUUGACACUGAACAUUGAGCCUUGAUGUGUAGGAUAGGUGGGAGGCUUUGAAGUGUGGACGCCAGUCUGCAUGGAGCCGACCUUGAAAUACCACCCUUUAAUGUUUGAUGUUCUAACGUUGACCCGUAAUCCGGGUUGCGGACAGUGUCUGGUGGGUAGUUUGACUGGGGCGGUCUCCUCCUAAAGAGUAACGGAGGAGCACGAAGGUUGGCUAAUCCUGGUCGGACAUCAGGAGGUUAGUGCAAUGGCAUAAGCCAGCUUGACUGCGAGCGUGACGGCGCGAGCAGGUGCGAAAGCAGGUCAUAGUGAUCCGGUGGUUCUGAAUGGAAGGGCCAUCGCUCAACGGAUAAAAGGUACUCCGGGGAUAACAGGCUGAUACCGCCCAAGAGUUCAUAUCGACGGCGGUGUUUGGCACCUCGAUGUCGGCUCAUCACAUCCUGGGGCUGAAGUAGGUCCCAAGGGUAUGGCUGUUCGCCAUUUAAAGUGGUACGCGAGCUGGGUUUAGAACGUCGUGAGACAGUUCGGUCCCUAUCUGCCGUGGGCGCUGGAGAACUGAGGGGGGCUGCUCCUAGUACGAGAGGACCGGAGUGGACGCAUCACUGGUGUUCGGGUUGUCAUGCCAAUGGCACUGCCCGGUAGCUAAAUGCGGAAGAGAUAAGUGCUGAAAGCAUCUAAGCACGAAACUUGCCCCGAGAUGAGUUCUCCCUGACUCCUUGAGAGUCCUGAAGGAACGUUGAAGACGACGACGUUGAUAGGCCGGGUGUGUAAGCGCAGCGAUGCGUUGAGCUAACCGGUACUAAUGAACCGUGAGGCUUAACCUUACAACGCCGAAG